RNAcentral lists this ribosomal RNA (467 nucleotides) under uncultured bacterium. RNAcentral's name for it is "partial 16S ribosomal RNA". It matches the Rfam family "Bacterial small subunit ribosomal RNA", at positions 28 to 507 of the family's 1533-position model. The record is from RNAcentral.
GAUGAACGCUGGCGGCGUGCUUAACACAUGCAAGUCGAACGGAAAGGCCCAAGCUUGCUUGGGUACUCGAGUGGCGAACGGGUGAGUAACACGUGGGUGAUCUGCCCUGCACUUCGGGAUAAGCCUGGGAAACUGGGUCUAAUACCGGAUAGGACCACUUCGUGGAUGUUGUGGUUGAAAGUUUUUUCGGUGUGGGAUGAGCUCGCGGCCUAUCAGCUUGUUGGUGGGGUAAUGGGCUACCAAGGCGUCGACGGGUAGACGGCCUGGGAGGGUGUACGUCCCCAUUGGGACUGAGAUACGGCCCAGACUCCUACGGGAGGCAGAAGUGGGGAAUAUUGCACAAUGGGCGCCAGCCUGAUGCAGAGACGCCGCGUGGGGGAUGACGGCCUUCGGGUUGUAAACUCCUUUCGCUAGGGACGAAGCGUUUUGUGACGGUACCUGGAGAAGAAGCACCGGCUAACUACGUG